This 481-nucleotide ribosomal RNA is filed under the name uncultured bacterium. Its description in RNAcentral is "bacterial SSU rRNA". It matches the Rfam family "Bacterial small subunit ribosomal RNA", at positions 28 to 508 of the family's 1533-position model. The record is from RNAcentral.
AAUGAACGUUGGCGGCGUGGAUUAGGCAUGCAAGUCGAGGGAGAACCCCGCAAGGGGGGAAACCGGCGAACGGGGUAGGACAACAUCGGUAACGUACCCUCUGGACGGGGAUAGCGGCGGGAAACUGCCGGUAAUACCCGAUGAUCUGACGAGCUUGUGAUGCUCGUCAGCAAAGGUGUGAUUCCACCAGGGGAGCGGCUGAUGCGCUAUUAGCUAGUUGGCGGGGUGACGGCCCACCAAGGCGACGAUGGCUAGGGGGUGUGAGAGCGUGGCCCCCACCACUGGCACUGAGACACUGGCCAGACACCUACGGGUGGCUGCAGUCGAGAAUCUUCGGCAAUGGGCGAAAGCCUGACCGAGCGACGCCGCGUGCGGGAUGAAGGUCUUCGGAUUGUAAACCGCUGUCGGAGGGGAUGAAAUGCAGGUGGGUUCUCCCAUCUGUUUGACAGAGCCUCGGAGGAAGCACGGGCUAAGUUCGUGC